Molecule: ribosomal RNA, 253 nt
Filed under: uncultured bacterium
Lineage: Bacteria
Description: partial 16S ribosomal RNA
Rfam family: Bacterial small subunit ribosomal RNA
Source: RNAcentral
GACAGAGGGGGCAAGCGUUGCUCGGAAUCACUGGGCGUAAAGGGCGCGUAGGCGGGUGCUCAAGUCCGUGGUGAAAUCCUCCGGCUCAACCGGAGAACUGCCAUGGAUACUGGGUGUCUCGAGGGUGAUAGGGGUAUGCGGAACUAUCGGUGGAGCGGUGAAAUGCGUUGAUAUCGAUAGGAACUCCGGUGGCGAAGGCGGCAUACUGGAUCACAUCUGACGCUGAGGCGCGAAAGCCAGGGGAGCAAACGGG